GGGUUGUGAGGUUAAGCGACUAAGCGUACACGGUGGAUGCCCUGGCAGUCAGAGGCGAUGAAGGACGUGCUAAUCUGCGAUAAGCGUCGGUAAGGUGAUAUGAACCGUUAUAACCGGCGAUUUCCGAAUGGGGAAACCCAGUGUGUUUCGACACACUAUCAUUAACUGAAUUCAUAGGUUAAUGAGGCGAACCGGGGGAACUGAAACAUCUAAGUACCCCGAGGAAAAGAAAUCAACCGAGAUUCCCCCAGUAGCGGCGAGCGAACGGGGAGCAGCCCAGAGCCUGAAUCAGUGUGUGUGUUAGUGGAAGCGUCUGGAAAGGCGCGCGAUACAGGGUGACAGCCCCGUACACAAAAAUGCACAUGCUGUGAGCUCGAUGAGUAGGGCGGGACACGUGGUAUCCUGUCUGAAUAUGGGGGGACCAUCCUCCAAGGCUAAAUACUCCUGACUGACCGAUAGUGAACCAGUACCGUGAGGGAAAGGCGAAAAGAACCCCGGCGAGGGGAGUGAAAAAGAACCUGAAACCGUGUACGUACAAGCAGUGGGAGCACGCUUAGGCGUGUGACUGCGUACCUUUUGUAUAAUGGGUCAGCGACUUAUAUUCUGUAGCAAGGUUAACCGAAUAGGGGAGCCGAAGGGAAACCGAGUCUUAACUGGGCGUUAAGUUGCAGGGUAUAGACCCGAAACCCGGUGAUCUAGCCAUGGGCAGGUUGAAGGUUGGGUAACACUAACUGGAGGACCGAACCGACUAAUGUUGAAAAAUUAGCGGAUGACUUGUGGCUGGGGGUGAAAGGCCAAUCAAACCGGGAGAUAGCUGGUUCUCCCCGAAAGCUAUUUAGGUAGCGCCUCGUGAAUUCAUCUCCGGGGGUAGAGCACUGUUUCGGCAAGGGGGUCAUCCCGACUUACCAACCCGAUGCAAACUGCGAAUACCGGAGAAUGUUAUCACGGGAGACACACGGCGGGUGCUAACGUCCGUCGUGAAGAGGGAAACAACCCAGACCGCCAGCUAAGGUCCCAAAGUCAUGGUUAAGUGGGAAACGAUGUGGGAAGGCCCAGACAGCCAGGAUGUUGGCUUAGAAGCAGCCAUCAUUUAAAGAAAGCGUAAUAGCUCACUGGUCGAGUCGGCCUGCGCGGAAGAUGUAACGGGGCUAAACCAUGCACCGAAGCUGCGGCAGCGACGCUUAUGCGUUGUUGGGUAGGGGAGCGUUCUGUAAGCCUGUGAAGGUGUGCUGUGAGGCAUGCUGGAGGUAUCAGAAGUGCGAAUGCUGACAUAAGUAACGAUAAAGCGGGUGAAAAGCCCGCUCGCCGGAAGACCAAGGGUUCCUGUCCAACGUUAAUCGGGGCAGGGUGAGUCGACCCCUAAGGCGAGGCCGAAAGGCGUAGUCGAUGGGAAACAGGUUAAUAUUCCUGUACUUGGUGUUACUGCGAAGGGGGGACGGAGAAGGCUAUGUUGGCCGGGCGACGGUUGUCCCGGUUUAAGCGUGUAGGCUGGUUUUCCAGGCAAAUCCGGAAAAUCAAGGCUGAGGCGUGAUGACGAGGCACUACGGUGCUGAAGCAACAAAUGCCCUGCUUCCAGGAAAAGCCUCUAAGCAUCAGGUAACAUCAAAUCGUACCCCAAACCGACACAGGUGGUCAGGUAGAGAAUACCAAGGCGCUUGAGAGAACUCGGGUGAAGGAACUAGGCAAAAUGGUGCCGUAACUUCGGGAGAAGGCACGCUGAUAUGUAGGUGAAGUCCCUUGCGGAUGGAGCUGAAAUCAGUCGAAGAUACCAGCUGGCUGCAACUGUUUAUUAAAAACACAGCACUGUGCAAACACGAAAGUGGACGUAUACGGUGUGACGCCUGCCCGGUGCCGGAAGGUUAAUUGAUGGGGUUAGCGGUAACGCGAAGCUCUUGAUCGAAGCCCCGGUAAACGGCGGCCGUAACUAUAACGGUCCUAAGGUAGCGAAAUUCCUUGUCGGGUAAGUUCCGACCUGCACGAAUGGCGUAAUGAUGGCCAGGCUGUCUCCACCCGAGACUCAGUGAAAUUGAACUCGCUGUGAAGAUGCAGUGUACCCGCGGCAAGACGGAAAGACCCCGUGAACCUUUACUAUAGCUUGACACUGAACAUUGAGCCUUGAUGUGUAGGAUAGGUGGGAGGCUUUGAAGUGUGGACGCCAGUCUGCAUGGAGCCGACCUUGAAAUACCACCCUUUAAUGUUUGAUGUUCUAACGUUGACCCGUGAUCCGGGUUGCGGACAGUGUCUGGUGGGUAGUUUGACUGGGGCGGUCUCCUCCUAAAGAGUAACGGAGGAGCACGAAGGUUGGCUAAUCCUGGUCGGACAUCAGGAGGUUAGUGCAAUGGCAUAAGCCAGCUUGACUGCGAGCGUGACGGCGCGAGCAGGUGCGAAAGCAGGUCAUAGUGAUCCGGUGGUUCUGAAUGGAAGGGCCAUCGCUCAACGGAUAAAAGGUACUCCGGGGAUAACAGGCUGAUACCGCCCAAGAGUUCAUAUCGACGGCGGUGUUUGGCACCUCGAUGUCGGCUCAUCACAUCCUGGGGCUGAAGUAGGUCCCAAGGGUAUGGCUGUUCGCCAUUUAAAGUGGUACGCGAGCUGGGUUUAGAACGUCGUGAGACAGUUCGGUCCCUAUCUGCCGUGGGCGCUGGAGAAUUGAGGGGGGCUGCUCCUAGUACGAGAGGACCGGAGUGGACGCAUCACUGGUGUUCGGGUUGUCAUGCCAAUGGCACUGCCCGGUAGCUAAAUGCGGAAGAGAUAAGUGCUGAAAGCAUCUAAGCACGAAACUUGCCCCGAGAUGAGUUCUCCCUGACUCCUUGAGAGUCCUGAAGGAACGUUGAAGACGACGACGUUGAUAGGCCGGGUGUGUAAGCGCAGCGAUGCGUUGAGCUAACCGGUACUAAUGAACCGUGAGGCUUAACCUUACAACGCCGAAGCUGUU
RNAcentral lists this ribosomal RNA (2932 nucleotides) under Escherichia coli. RNAcentral's name for it is "23S ribosomal RNA". It matches the Rfam family "Bacterial large subunit ribosomal RNA". Lineage: Bacteria; Pseudomonadati; Pseudomonadota; Gammaproteobacteria; Enterobacterales; Enterobacteriaceae. The record is from RNAcentral.